UACGUAGGGUGCAAGCGUUAAUCGGAAUUACUGGGCGUAAAGCGUGCGCAGGCGGUUAUGCAAGACAGAUGUGAAAUCCCCGGGCUCAACCUGGGAAUUGCAUUUGUGACUGUAUGGCUAGAGUGUGUCAGAGGGGGGUAGAAUUCCACGUGUAGCAGUGAAAUGCGUAGAUAUGUGGAGGAAUACCGAUGGCGAAGGCAGCCCCCUGGGAUAACACUGACGCUCAUGCACGAAAGCGUGGGGAGCAAACAGG
This 253-nucleotide ribosomal RNA is filed under the name uncultured bacterium. RNAcentral describes it as "partial 16S ribosomal RNA". It matches the Rfam family "Bacterial small subunit ribosomal RNA", at positions 524 to 776 of the family's 1533-position model. The record is from RNAcentral.